This is an unclassified non-coding RNA of Chlorocebus sabaeus (green monkey), 289 nucleotides long. It matches the Rfam family "Metazoan signal recognition particle RNA". Rfam says of the family: The signal recognition particle (SRP) is a universally conserved ribonucleoprotein. It is involved in the co-translational targeting of proteins to membranes. NCBI's taxonomy places the organism in Eukaryota, Metazoa, Chordata, Mammalia, Primates, Cercopithecidae. The record is from Ensembl.
GCUGGGCAUGGUGGUGCGUGCUUGUAGUCUCAGCUACUCUGGAGGCAGGAGGAUGGCUUGUGUCCAGGACUUCUGGGCUGUAGUGUGCUAUGCCAGUUGGGGGUCCACACUAUGUUCUGCAUUAAUAUGUUGACCUCCCAAGAGCGGGGAACCACCAGGUUGCCUAAGGAGGAGUGAAUCAACCCAGGACAGAAACAAAGCAAGUCAAAACUUCCCUGCUGAUCAGUUGUGGGAUCAAGCCUGUGAAUAGCCGCUGCAAUCCAGCCCAGGCAACAUAGCAAGAUCCUGU